Molecule: unclassified non-coding RNA, 377 nt
Filed under: soil metagenome
Description: partial contains 5.8S ribosomal RNA, internal transcribed spacer 2, and large subunit ribosomal RNA
Rfam family: 5.8S ribosomal RNA (bases 1-120)
Source: RNAcentral
GAUGAAGAACGCAGCGAAAUGCGAUAAGUAAUGUGAAUUGCAGAAUUCAGUGAAUCAUCGAAUCUUUGAACGCAUCUUGCGCUCCUUGGUAUUCUGAGGAGCAUGCCUGGUUGAGUGUCAUUAAAUUCUCAACCGCACUGACUUUGAAUUGGUGUGGCUUGGAUUUGGGGGGAAAAUUGUUGUGGGCUUUUUUGUAUAGUCUGCUCCCCUGAAAUUGAUUAGCGGUACCUUUGUGGAACUGUCUACAGGUGUGAUAAUUAUCUACAUCCUAGACAUCUGCUGGAAUGCUGCUUUCUAAACCUUACUUGUAUUGACAAUCUUGACCUCAAAUCAGGUAGGACUACCCGCUGAACUUAAGCAUAUCAAUAAGCGGAGGA